GGUUCUGUGGCGCAGUUGGUUAGCGCAUCCGCCUGUCGAGCGGAGGGUCGCGGGUUCGAGUCCCGUCAGAACCGCUA
This 77-nucleotide transfer RNA is filed under the name Spirochaetota bacterium. RNAcentral describes it as "Spirochaetes bacterium tRNA-Asp". It matches the Rfam family "tRNA". Rfam says of the family: Transfer RNA (tRNA) molecules are approximately 80 nucleotides in length. Their secondary structure includes four short double-helical elements and three loops (D, anti-codon, and T loops). Further hydrogen bonds mediate the characteristic L-shaped molecular structure. tRNAs have two regions of fundamental functional importance: the anti-codon, which is responsible for specific mRNA codon recognition, and the 3' end, to which the tRNAs corresponding amino acid is attached (by aminoacyl-tRNA synthetases). tRNAs cope with the degeneracy of the genetic code in two manners: having more than one tRNA (with a specific anti-codon) for a particular amino acid; and 'wobble' base-pairing, i.e. permitting non-standard base-pairing at the 3rd anti-codon position. Lineage: Bacteria; Pseudomonadati; Spirochaetota. The record is from RNAcentral.